This 497-nucleotide ribosomal RNA is filed under the name uncultured bacterium. RNAcentral describes it as "partial 16S ribosomal RNA". It matches the Rfam family "Bacterial small subunit ribosomal RNA", at positions 28 to 507 of the family's 1533-position model. The record is from RNAcentral.
GAUGAACGCUGGCGGCGUGCCUAAUACAUGCAAGUCGAGCGAACAGACGAGGAGCUUGCUCCUCUGACGUUAGCGGCGGACGGGUGAGUAACACGUGGAUAACCUACCUAUAAGACUGGGAUAACUUCGGGAAACCGGAGCUAAUACCGGAUAAUAUAUUGAACCGCAUGGUUCAAUAGUGAAAGACGGUUUUGCUGUCACUUACAGAUGGAUCCGCGCCGCAUUAGCUAGUUGGUAAGGUAACGGCUUACCAAGGCAACGAUGCGUAGCCGACCUGAGAGGGUGAUCGGCCACACUGGAACGGAGACACGGUCCAGACUCCUACGGGAGGCAGCAGUAGGGAAUCUUCCGCAAUGGGCGAAAGCUUGACGGAGCAACGCCGCGUGAGUGAUGAAGGUCUUCGGAUCGUAAAACUCUGUUAUUAGGGAAGAACAAAUGUGUAAGUAACUAUGCACGUCUUGACGGUACCUAAUCAGAAAGCCACGGCUAACUACGUG